Pezoporus occidentalis (night parrot) is the source of this 562-nucleotide long non-coding RNA. RefSeq lists it as uncharacterized. The transcript is spliced from 3 exons. The record is from RefSeq and is a predicted model, not a curated record. NCBI's taxonomy places the organism in Eukaryota, Metazoa, Chordata, Aves, Psittaciformes, Psittacidae.
UGCGGGAACCGAGCCCCCCCGCGCCCCCCCCGCGCCGAGCCCCGCCCCUGAGCUGCGCCUGUCCCGGGGAGCCCCCCCCCGCCUGCGGCCUCUUCCAUUGCGGGGCACGGGGGGAGCCGGUCCCGUCCCCCCCCGGCGCCACCCACAGCGGGCACGACGAAUUCCCCCCCCCAGCCACUGGGGAGCACAUGGGGGCCCCCCCCCCCAGCACUGGGGUCCAGGGGGGGGUCCCCAACGGGCGGGAGGUGGGCGCCCGCCUGCGUCGCCUGGGGGACGCCUUCCAGCGCCAGCACGAGCUGCAGCGGGAGCAGCGCGGUGCCGGCGGUGGCGUGUUUUGGGGUCCUCUCUGCCGCCUGCUCUCGCAGUUGUUGGGAGCCAUCUACAACCUGCACGAAUAGGGCCCUGCCUGCACCCCAAAACAGGGCCUGGGUCCUGCCUGCACCCCACAACGGAGCCUGGGUGCUGCCUGCACCCCAAAACAGAGACUGGGUCCUGCCUGCACCCCACAACGGAGCCUGGGUGCUGCCUGCACCCCAAAACAGGGCCUGGGUCCUGCCUGCAC